AGAGUUUGAUCCUGGCUCAGGAUGAAUGCUGGCGGCGUGCCUAACACAUGCAAGUCGAACGGAGCUGCUUUGAUGAAGUUUUCGGAUGGAUUUAAAACAGCUUAGUGGCGGACGGGUGAGUAACGCGUGGGUAACCUGCCUCACACUGGGGGAUAACAGUUAGAAAUAGCUGCUAAUACCGCAUAAGCGCACGGUUCCGCAUGGAACAGUGUGAAAAACUCCGGUGGUGUGAGAUGGACCCGCGUCUGAUUAGCCAGUUGGCGGGGUAACGGCCCACCAAGGCGACGAUCAGUAGCCGGCCUGAGAGGGUGAACGGCCACAUUGGGACUGAGACACGGCCCAAACUCCUACGGGAGGCAGCAGUGGGGAAUAUUGCACAAUGGGGGAAACCCUGAUGCAGCGACGCCGCGUGAGUGAAGAAGUAUUUCGGUAUGUAAAGCUCUAUCAGCAGGGAAGAAAGUGACGGUACCUGAAUAAGAAGCCCCGGCUAACUACGUGCCAGCAGCCGCGGUAAUACGUAGGGGGCAAGCGUUAUCCGGAUUUACUGGGUGUAAAGGGAGCGUAGACGGCAAGGCAAGUCUGAAGUGAAAGCCCGGUGCUUAACGCCGGGACUGCUUUGGAAACUGUUUAGCUGGAGUGCCGGAGAGGUAAGCGGAAUUCCUAGUGUAGCGGUGAAAUGCGUAGAUAUUAGGAAGAACACCAGUGGCGAAGGCGGCUUACUGGACGGUAACUGACGUUGAGGCUCGAAAGCGUGGGGAGCAAACAGGAUUAGAUACCCUGGUAGUCCACGCCGUAAACGAUGA
RNAcentral lists this ribosomal RNA (803 nucleotides) under uncultured bacterium. Its description in RNAcentral is "bacterial SSU rRNA". It matches the Rfam family "Bacterial small subunit ribosomal RNA", at positions 8 to 812 of the family's 1533-position model. The record is from RNAcentral.